GUACCGCCUGCGCGCGCUGCCGGGCGAGGGGCGGCGCGGCGGAGGCCGAGGGAGCGGGCACCAUGUCGGGCCGAGAGGGCGGCAAGAAGAAGCCGCUGAAGCAGCCGAAAAAGCAGUCGAAGGACCUGGAUGAGCCAGCGGUGGAAUAAAGAAGUCUGGCAAAAAGUAGUUUGGUGGAACUGCGGGGUGAGCAGCGAUGGAGUCGCUCAGUGGAUCUGCAGACUUCGGAGAGUCAUGAAAACUCACUGUCAUUUGGGAAACAUUGUACAUUUUGUUUAGUGGGAAUAAAUCGUUUUUGUUAAGAUGUAAUAUUUUCUCUCUUUACCUGUAGGUUUUGUUUUAAAAAUGGCAUUAGUGAUUUAUAGUAGAAAUGAAACUUGACUGAAGGCCACCUGUGACCUUAUGCAGCCUCAGUUGGUUUGGUAGUCAUUUGUGAGAAUAAAUGUCAACUUCUGCUCUUC
Calidris pugnax (ruff) is the source of this 461-nucleotide long non-coding RNA. RefSeq lists it as uncharacterized. The transcript has 3 exons. NCBI's taxonomy places the organism in Eukaryota, Metazoa, Chordata, Aves, Charadriiformes, Scolopacidae. The record is from RefSeq and is a predicted model, not a curated record.